This 1538-nucleotide small RNA is filed under the name Histoplasma capsulatum var. duboisii H88. RNAcentral's name for it is "Histoplasma capsulatum H88 hypothetical RNA". Lineage: Eukaryota; Fungi; Ascomycota; Eurotiomycetes; Onygenales; Ajellomycetaceae. The record is from RNAcentral.
UAAAGAGUCACAUAUCUUAGAGAUGAUUCGAAAGCUUGAUCCGUUGUAAGGUUUGCUGAUAUUGCGGUUUUGGCGAUCCAUGUAUAUAUAUAUGUAUAUAUGCAGAAGGGAUGAACGAAAAAGAGUGCAAGAAUUAAGGUGUUCAAGAUUCCUUCCACGAAGGAAAAUGAUAUCAUACAUCAUCUCUAAUCAUACGUUAGUUGCUGCAUCAUAACCAUAACCACAGAAAUAAUUCAUUCUCCCCGUUAUUUGCCGGAAUAGAAGAUAAACGGUGUUGAUGGAAAAUGGGGAAAAACUGACUGGUUCGCAAGAUGUAUGCCAUGAUUUGGGAAAUCAACAGGAAAACCAAAAUAAACAGGCGUCAACUACGCACUCCCUGCAUCAAAAAUAGCUAUUUCACAGGCAAAAAAACUUAACAGAUGAAGACUCCACAACCUGCUUCUUGUUCCACACUCUACUCCCCAAUCUCCUCAGCCUCACUCCCCAACUCCUCUUGGACAAGAUCUUUCCCCUCCCCAUCAUAAUCUUCCUGCCCAUCACCAUCCUGAUCUUCCUCUUCACUACUAGACCCGCUCCCGUCACUAUCCCCCUCGCUACCAGGAUCAUAAUCCUCCUCUUCUUCAUCCUCUCGAUCCUCCAGCUCUCUCUGCGCCUUCACCAAUUCAGAUUCCUCCUCCUCGCCCUCACCCGCAUGAUUUGCAGCACUAUCAGUACCUCCAUCCCCGCCCUUCACGCCGUUGAUGUUAAGUCUCUUGGCCCGACGCGCUUCAGCCAGACUGGCAUCCUGCAAGCCGUGCUUUUUGAUAUAAGCGUCAAUACCAGGGUGAUUCGACUGGUCGAUCAUGGACAGCUCGAAUUCCUGCACCUCGUCUAGCUUUGCGGACGAACGAGCAGUGAUGUUUAGGUUGAACGUGCGCUGGAGGACGGAGGUAUAGGAUAUGGUGUCGAUGUUUUCGAGAGCGAAGAAGAUGAGGGGCUUUUUGAAACCAAAGAAGAUGCCCGUGGAGAGGAAGAAGAGGAAUCCUGUCGGGAUGCAAUUAUUAGUUAGCAUUGCCGAGAUGACGUUUUGCUUUUUCAAAGCGCGGGGGGUUUUUAGGUGAUAUAUGUAACGCCCACCUUCCUUGCUCCCCCGGAACGCUUUGACAUGAUACGCCUUGUCCCCCUUCCGAUGAGCUUCAGGAGUCGGGCUCACAAAUUCCUUCUCGCUUGGACAAAUGACUUUCGUAUGUCUUAAAUUAUCAUCGAGCAUUCGCUUUAGAUAGCUUUCGUAGGUCUCCGCAAGAUUUGCACUCUCCAGAGCGGGUGUGCCUGAGCCUAGGUAUGCAGUCCUUGGAGGGCCAUCAGGAAUCGUCCACACAAUUGGCUCGAAUGCAAGUUGAUGAUCGGGGACAGGCGAGAUGCCGUCUCCGUGUUCCGGGAUGAUACAGAAAUUAAACUGCCGUUGCGUUUUCUCAGGGACGGGUAGGCAUAAGAUAUGCUCUAGACAAAAUUUUUGGUUAGAAAUCAAUCUCGUAGUAGCAACCCCAAAAAAAAAAGGG